AUGAAGUUUGGUACUUUUGAGGAAGCUUAAGAUCACUACAAGAAAUAUGCACUCAGACAUGGGUUUGGAAUGAGACUGAAAUACAGAAAAACAAUUAAAGACGAUACUGUAAGUAGAGUCCUCUUGGUUUGUGGGAAAUACGGCAAGGCAAAAUCAAACAAGGAGGAGAAAGAGGAUGUGCAAGACCCAAGAAGCAUCAUGAAGAAGAGGAAAAGAGGGAAGGUUGUGAGGUCAGGAUGUCCGGCCCACCUUUACAUCACCCACACGGAUGCGUGGUGGAGAGUCAAACGCUUCAACAACGACCACAACCACCCCCUAAUAAGAAAGCCGUCCUUGACAAAGUUCCUGACAAAGGACAUCGCAAACCAGCGAGCUAAAUUCCGCAUGGAGUACCGCCAUGCUGAUGUGGGGAGCACAAUCUCAUACUUCCAAGAUAUGAAGGCACAAGAUCCAGAUUUCUAUUGGAAAAUAAAGCUUGAUGAUGAGAACAGAGUGGAGAAUUUGUUCUGGAUAGAUGGUGCGUCGCGCAGGGCAUAUGCUAGAUACAAUGAUGUCAUCUCAUUCGACACAACAUACAUGACAAACAUGUACAAGAUGCCCUGUGCGCCCUUCAUUGGCAUUAAUAACCAUGGGCAGUCAAUCCAGUUUGGUUGUGUGUUUGUUUGAAACGAACUAUCUGGUAACUUUGUGUGGUUGUUUAAUGCAUUCUUGCAUGCAAUGGGUGGAAUUACGUCAAAGAACAUAAUAAUAGAUCAGGAUUUUGCAAUGAGGAGUGCUAUUGAUGAGGUGUUCAUCGGGAUAGUACACAGGAAUUGCCGCUGGCAUAUAAUGAAAAAAAGCACAGAGAAGCUUGGGAAGCUGAUGGCUGACAAUGAGCCACUAAACAACGCAUUCAAGGAUUGUGUUGACGACAACCUGACUGUUGAGGAGUUUGAGCACAAGUGGUGGGUGAUGAUGGAAGCGUAUGGCCAGACCGACAACGAGCAUUUCCAAUGGCCGUGGGAGAACAUGAAGUGUUGGGUCCCAGUAUACUAUAUGCACGAUUUUUUCCCGUUCUUGCAGACCACGGCAAGAAGCGAGGGUUUUAACUCUAUGCUCAAGAAGUAUGUCAACCCAAACAACUCAUUGGUUGAAUUUGCACAAUAG
Molecule: ribosomal RNA, 1146 nt
Filed under: Triticum aestivum (bread wheat)
Lineage: Eukaryota; Viridiplantae; Streptophyta; Magnoliopsida; Poales; Poaceae
Description: partial small subunit ribosomal RNA
Source: RNAcentral